AAAUUUUCCAAGGUAACACCAAUGACGUCGAUUUAUGACGUCAAGGUUAAUUUACUUUUUUUUCCCAUUUUCUCCUCGUUUUCGGUGUAUUUGUUGUCUUGUUGUUUGGUUAGGGUCACUCCUACUGCCUACAUGCAAUAAUCGUUUCUUACUAUAAAUCACUCGAACGUCAGCCAAAAACAAUUUAAAUCGAUCCUACCCGACAUACGGAUAUUUAUUACCUCCCGUAGUAGAUUUUCAUGUUUUUGUGUGUAGUAUUGUAUUGAUAUAAUUAUAGAUAUAUGAUGAA
Molecule: long non-coding RNA, 289 nt
Filed under: Mytilus galloprovincialis (Mediterranean mussel)
Lineage: Eukaryota; Metazoa; Mollusca; Bivalvia; Mytilida; Mytilidae
Source: RNAcentral